Molecule: long non-coding RNA, 817 nt
Organism: Peromyscus leucopus (white-footed mouse)
Lineage: Eukaryota; Metazoa; Chordata; Mammalia; Rodentia; Cricetidae
Exons: 4
Source: RefSeq, a predicted model, not a curated record
UGUGUCUAUUUUCAAGAUAAGGAAACAGGAAGAAGGAAAGUAGCAAUGGUAAUUAGGAGGUGUAAAGGUUGAGUAGCAAAAGGCAGAGCAGAGAGAAGGCACAUGAUGUGUGGGAUUGGCUGUCCAUCAUAAAGACACCUUCAUUCCCUAAGAGAACAAGGCUAACAUGCAAUUUGGCUGACAACAAUUUUAUGUAACAGGUGGAAAGACUAUGUGCAGUGCACAGAGGAUGCCUGGGACUCAUUUUGCUAUUUCAAAGUUCCUUUGUGAAAGAACUUUGGAAGUGAUGCAACUCCAGAAGAAUCUUUGGAUCUUCUUUUUAAAAAUGUGUGACAACAAAAUGAGGAGCUUGAACUGAUUAUUGAUUUGACAUGUAUGAAGCACUCCUAUAAAGCAAAGGCAGCAAAGCUGAGAAAACCUAUUUCUACAAUCUACUGCAUCCUAGAUACACGGUCAUUAUGGAUUUCUAGGAAGUAAACAGUAAAGACAGUCACUCUCAGAUAAAGCAAGAAGACUUGAGACCAGCCCAGCUACCUGGAAUAAUAGAGAAUAGUCAAGCAGUCUGAAAAAAAAUGAGAGAGCAACAGAGAUGCCUGGAAGAGGAUUAGAGCAACCGAGCCACCGGCAAAGGACACUCUUUAUCCUGUUGAGCUGCCUGAAGGCCGUGCAAUGUGCUCCAGAUUGUCAACUUUUGUGAGCUGUCAUUCUAGGAUGGGCUUUGGCGAUGCAGCAGACAUUGAGUCAUUUCUGCUCCUGUAAUGAACCACUUACCCAUCUUCUUGUAAGUGAUCCCAAUAAAACUUAUUGAUGGAUUGGA